CCUACGGGGGGCAGCAGUGGGGAAUAUUGGACAAUGGGGGCAACCCUGAUCCAGCCAUGCCGCGUGUGUGAAGAAGGCCCUCGGGUUGUAAAGCACUUUCAGUGAGGAAGAACGCCUGGUGGUUAAUACCUAUCAGGAAAGACAUCACUCACAGAAGAAGCACCGGCUAACUCCGUGCCAGCAGCCGCGGUAAUACGGAGGGUGCGUGCGUUAAUCGGAAUUACUGGGCGUAAAGCGCGCGUAGGUGGCUUGAUAAGCCGGUUGUGAAAGCCCCGGGCUCAACCUGGGAACGGCAUCCGGAACUGUCAAGCUAGAGUGCAGGAGAGGAAGGUAGAAUUCCCGGUGUAGCGGUGAAAUGCGUAGAGAUCGGGAGGAAUACCAGUGGCGAAGGCGGCCUUCUGGACUGACACUGACACUGAGGUGCGAAAGCGUGGGUAGCAAACAGGAUUAGAUACCCUGGUAGUC
This 465-nucleotide ribosomal RNA is filed under the name Vreelandella stevensii. RNAcentral's name for it is "partial 16S ribosomal RNA". It matches the Rfam family "Bacterial small subunit ribosomal RNA", at positions 338 to 795 of the family's 1533-position model. The record is from RNAcentral. Lineage: Bacteria; Pseudomonadati; Pseudomonadota; Gammaproteobacteria; Oceanospirillales; Halomonadaceae.